This 271-nucleotide unclassified non-coding RNA is filed under the name Funneliformis mosseae. RNAcentral's name for it is "partial contains 5.8S ribosomal RNA and internal transcribed spacer 2". The stretch from base 1 to 71 matches the Rfam family "5.8S ribosomal RNA", at positions 84 to 154 of the family's 154-position model. Lineage: Eukaryota; Fungi; Glomeromycota; Glomeromycetes; Glomerales; Glomeraceae. The record is from RNAcentral.
GUGAAUCAUCAAAUCUUUGAACGCAAAUUGCACUCCCUGGUAUUCCGGGGAGUGUGCCUGUUUGAGGGUCGUCAGAAUAAAAAAUCGAGGCGUCGCUCUUUUUUUUAAGGGUGAUCGCGUCGGAAUCGAGCCGUCUUUCAAAUGUUAAUUCAUGUCAAAGUGGCUUGAAAUUCAUCCAUCCGGUAUGUUUAAAGCGUAUUUGAGAUCAAGCUUGAUUAAGAACGCGCGAGGACGGACCAUCUCAUGUAGUACGUUUGACUUGGCGUUGUCA